RNAcentral lists this transfer RNA (72 nucleotides) under Cavia porcellus (domestic guinea pig). It matches the Rfam family "tRNA". From Rfam's summary of the family: Transfer RNA (tRNA) molecules are approximately 80 nucleotides in length. Their secondary structure includes four short double-helical elements and three loops (D, anti-codon, and T loops). Further hydrogen bonds mediate the characteristic L-shaped molecular structure. tRNAs have two regions of fundamental functional importance: the anti-codon, which is responsible for specific mRNA codon recognition, and the 3' end, to which the tRNAs corresponding amino acid is attached (by aminoacyl-tRNA synthetases). tRNAs cope with the degeneracy of the genetic code in two manners: having more than one tRNA (with a specific anti-codon) for a particular amino acid; and 'wobble' base-pairing, i.e. permitting non-standard base-pairing at the 3rd anti-codon position. Lineage: Eukaryota; Metazoa; Chordata; Mammalia; Rodentia; Caviidae. The record is from Rfam by way of RNAcentral.
AGGGUUAUAGCUCAGUUUUAGAGCAUUUGUCUAGCAUGCAAAAUGUUCUAGGCUCAAUCCCUAGCAACACAU